RNAcentral lists this ribosomal RNA (116 nucleotides) under Pteropus alecto (black flying fox). The record is from RNAcentral. Lineage: Eukaryota; Metazoa; Chordata; Mammalia; Chiroptera; Pteropodidae.
GUCUAUGGCCAUGCCACACUGAACACGCCUGAUGUCUGAUCUCGGAAGCUAAGCAGGGUCGGGUCUGGUUAGUACUUGGAUGGGAGACCACCUAGGAAGACCAGGUGCUGUAGGCA